GAUGAACGCUAGCGACAGGCCUAACACAUGCAAGUCGAGGGGCAGCACAAGGAGCAAUCUGAGGUGGCGACCGGCGCACGGGUGAGUAACACGUAUGCAACCUACCUGUAAGAGGGGAAUAACCCGUUGAAAAACGGACUAAUACCGCAUAACACUGUAGAACCGCAUGGUUUGACAGUUAAACAUUUAUGGCUUACAGAUGGGCAUGCGCAUGAUUAGCUAGUUGGUGAGGUAACGGCUCACCAAGGCAACGAUCAUUAGGGGUUCUGAGAGGAAGGUCCCCCACACUGGUACUGAGACACGGACCAGACUCCUACGGGAGGCAGCAGUGAGGAAUAUUGGUCAAUGGGCGAGAGCCUGAACCAGCCAAGUCGCGUGAAGGAUGAAGGUUUUAUGAAUUGUAAACUUCUUUUGCAGGGGAAUAAAGUGUCCGACGUGUCGGAUUUUUGUAUGUACUCUGCGAAUAAGGAUCGGCUAACUCCGUG
This 485-nucleotide ribosomal RNA is filed under the name uncultured bacterium. RNAcentral describes it as "bacterial SSU rRNA". It matches the Rfam family "Bacterial small subunit ribosomal RNA", at positions 28 to 507 of the family's 1533-position model. The record is from RNAcentral.